GUUACAUUUGCAGCAAAGUAAUAGGAAAAACGUUGUUUACACGUGUUCAUUCAGAGACCAGACAACCUGCAGGGAGGAUAGCCGCCCUUCAGAAACGCUCCUAAGAGUGACAUACUCCUGUCAGAUGGCCGGCGUCUCUCAGCAGGCGAGGGCUGAGCCUCGAGAAGGGUUUACUUUACAGAACGUUCGACCAUCUUUCAUUUAAGGGGUUGUUUGCACCUUGCUGUGGGUUUUGGGGUCUUUAGGGACCCCUGGUGGCCUAUAUAUGCUGUUGUUUUUCACCCUGGCUAUGGAACCUGCAACAACGGUUAAAGUUGUUACUACGGUGGCCGCAGAGCCCCUGAACGGGAUUGCACCGGCUUGGCUUGUCACAAAACCCAACCUCCCGUUCACCAUCACUUCUGCUCAGGACAAUACCUCACACCUGUGGAUAAAUGCUACCCUCAUUGGUACUGCUAAAAUCGUUGUAGCAGUGAGGUCCCUACGGAACACUCAGUGGAGAGCAGGGUCCUGCCUGGAACAGAAUAUCAUCAAUAGCAGUGUCACUUCUCAUUGACACACCGCGGAUCACCUCAAAAAUAAUCUGUAAAGAGCCAAAGAAUUGUGACAAUUUGCCAGACCUCCCCAGAAAUGCAAAGGUCUCUCAGCUUCCUAGACACUGAAAUUUUUGAACUUCAUUAGCAGUUUUUGGCAAAUGUCCUGAGGAAAUAGCAGAAACUGUAAAUAUCAACAGUUUUGGCUCUGCAGCCUGCAAGAUGCCACUGUAAGGAAGCAUGAGCAGGCAGAGAGCAGAAAUAAUAUUGCAACUGUUACAUCUAGUAUUUGCAGCAGUGCAAAGUUUUUUUAAAAAAAUAACCCUUAUUCCUGCUUGGACAAUAAAUAACUUUGGAAUUA
Pseudopipra pipra is the source of this 894-nucleotide long non-coding RNA. RefSeq lists it as uncharacterized. NCBI's taxonomy places the organism in Eukaryota, Metazoa, Chordata, Aves, Passeriformes, Pipridae. The record is from RefSeq and is a predicted model, not a curated record. The transcript has 4 exons.